This 1264-nucleotide long non-coding RNA is filed under the name Sinocyclocheilus grahami. RNAcentral describes it as "lncRNA (ENSSGRG00000009662.1)". Lineage: Eukaryota; Metazoa; Chordata; Actinopteri; Cypriniformes; Cyprinidae. The record is from RNAcentral.
GCGUCGGCACAGUGUGUGAUACAACAGUGCUUUGAAAACUGCGUCGGAGCCUCGGUACCAUCCGUCCCAUCACUAGAUAACGGUAAAUCAGCGUCUUUUCCGUUGUGUCUACUGCAGGAUGGAUAUAAAAGUAUAAAAUACGUUUUGGUUUGACAACAUCAUUCAUAUGUGAACUAUCACAAAGAAAUAACAAGUGUGAGAAAAGAGAAGUUCAUCAGGCGAGUUGGAGCGUUGGCUUUGUCGAGUCAUACAGUUUAGCGGAGAGCGUCAACCCCUGAUUGACAUGAGGAAAAAAAUCAUUGAGAAGUGUUCAGUGUACAGUGUACCCCUCUUUGUAACAGAGGAAGCAUUAGGACAGAGGAGAAGAGGGAAAGCGAAAAGGCACUCAACAGAUGUCGGAGCUAAGACCUGUGGGAGUGCUGGAGAAAUCAAGUGUACCAAGUACUCUGUCUCCUCAGCCAUGCAAGAGAUCUUCAGACAUGACGAGAUUGAGGAGUUAAAUGAAAUCAAAGAGCUAAAAGAAGAUCUACAAUAUUAGUGCCAAUUCAGUAUGAAAACAGAGAGAGAGAGCUGAGGGAGUGGAAAGAAAUGCAUGAUAUUGUGCAAGGGGUAGUUGCAUGGACUGUCAGUGGAGCAACAGAAAGCUCUGAGAUUUUUAUUAUAAAGAUCUUCAUUUGUGUUCUGAAGAUGAACUAAAGACUUGCGGGUUCGGAACGACAUGAGGGUGAGUAAUUGAUGACAGAAUUUUCAGUUUUGGGUGAACCAACCUUUUAACUUCUUUUACCUGGAUUGUUCAAAGACAUUGAGUACGUUUACAUGGACAACAAUAUUCCGAUUUUAACAUGAUUAAGACAAUACUCUGAUUAAGAAUCUACCAUGUAAACAGAGAUUUUUGAUUACCGUAAUCCGGCUAAAGUCAUAAUCGAAGUAAACACAAAUUAACACGAAUGAAGACAUGUGGAGUAUUCCUAUUUUAGUUGCAUUACUGAAGUGCAGUAUAGACAUGUACACACCUUAAUCACAUUAUUACCGUCAUGUAGGACUUUUCGCCGCAUUUUGUGACAGGAUACACACACGGCAGUGCUCAACCGUUUGAUGGCAAAUAAGAGCCUCAACACCCGCCGUCGUCUGUAUGCACGCACAAAUAAUUAACUGUACUUGAAGCUUUCAUAAAAUUAAAAAUGAAACACCCAAAACUGUACAUGGCAUCAUCACGAAGACAAACUAUAUGUUUAUACGUGAAAUUCGAACUAUGUUAAACGGG